ACCUGGAUGUGAUGUAACAAAAGGCCGAAUGAAGCUCCGCCCACAGCAGACUGUUCACAGUGGGUGGAGCUGUGACAAAAAUCGGACUGAAGCGUGUUCUGAUCCGGGU
RNAcentral lists this small nucleolar RNA (109 nucleotides) under Tetraodon nigroviridis (spotted green pufferfish). Its description in RNAcentral is "Small nucleolar RNA SNORD89 (ENSTNIG00000020511.1)". Lineage: Eukaryota; Metazoa; Chordata; Actinopteri; Tetraodontiformes; Tetraodontidae. The record is from RNAcentral.